This 348-nucleotide ribosomal RNA is filed under the name Triticum aestivum (bread wheat). Its description in RNAcentral is "partial small subunit ribosomal RNA". The record is from RNAcentral. Lineage: Eukaryota; Viridiplantae; Streptophyta; Magnoliopsida; Poales; Poaceae.
AUGAGGACCGGUAGCCUCCUCCUCAUCAUUUUCGCCAUUGUUGUCGUGGCUUACCCAUUUGCAGCAUCCGCCGAGGAAGAGUGGUAUCCUAUUGGAGACCCCGACAACGAACCACACGUCCAAGAGCUGGGCGGGUGGGCAGUGGCGGAGCACGUCAAGCAGGCACACGACAGGCUCAAAUUCAUCAAGGUGGUGAGCGGUGCGGAGGCAAAUGCCGCCGGUGUGAAAUAUCGCCUCGACAUUAAAGCAUUGAACAACAACGGCGAAGCCGGUGCAUACAAAGCGAUUUUACUCGAGGAGGUCAGGGACAACGAGCGCACCCUCAUCUCCUUCGGACCCGCGAACUAA